AAUGCAAGCCGUUCUAUCGCUCUCCCGCAUUUGCGGGUGAGAGGAAAGUCCGGGCAACACAGAGCAUCCUGCUUCCUAACGGGAAGGCAUCGCGCAAGCGGUGACGGACAGUGCCACAGAAAACAAACUACCCCCAAACUUCGGUUUGAGGGAAAAGGUGAAAACGUGAGGUAAGAGCUCACGGUUCUGUAUGGUGACAUGCAGUGCGGUAAACCCCAGGAGUUGAAAGACCAAAUAGGUUCCGGAAGUGAAGCUGCUCGCUUCCUUAUGCCGCAAGUGCGGCAUUAUCCGGGAUGGGUAGGUCGUUAGAUCACGUAAGCAAUUGCGCGACCAGAUAAAUGAUAGAAGUCCCGCAUAUGCGGGAUACAGAACCCGGCUUACAGGCUUGCAUUUUUU
This 396-nucleotide RNase P RNA is filed under the name Daejeonella sp. Its description in RNAcentral is "RNase P RNA component class A". It matches the Rfam family "Bacterial RNase P class A". From Rfam's summary of the family: Ribonuclease P (RNase P) is a ubiquitous endoribonuclease, found in archaea, bacteria and eukarya as well as chloroplasts and mitochondria. The record is from RNAcentral. Lineage: Bacteria; Pseudomonadati; Bacteroidota; Sphingobacteriia; Sphingobacteriales; Sphingobacteriaceae.